Molecule: ribosomal RNA, 581 nt
Filed under: uncultured Rhizopogon
Lineage: Eukaryota; Fungi; Basidiomycota; Agaricomycetes; Boletales; Rhizopogonaceae
Description: eukaryotic LSU rRNA
Rfam family: 5.8S ribosomal RNA (bases 173-327)
Source: RNAcentral
ACGCUUCUUGUUUUUCUCUCAACUCACCCGUGCACCUAAUGUAGGAUGCCUCUCCUCCGGGAGGGGGGACCUAUGUCUUCGUAUACAUCUUCGUGUAGAAAGUCUUUGAAUGUUUACUAUCAUCGAGUCGCGACUUCUAGGAGACGCGAUUCUUUGAGAUAAAAGUUAUUACAACUUUCAGCAACGGAUCUCUUGGCUCUCGCAUCGAUGAAGAACGCAGCGAAAAGCGAUAUGUAAUGUGAAUUGCAGAUCUACAGUGAAUCAUCGAAUCUUUGAACGCACCUUGCGCUCCUCGGUGUUCCGAGGAGCAUGCCUGUUUGAGUGUCAGUAAAUUCUCAACCCCUCUCGAUUAGCUUCGAGAGGGUGCUUGGAUGGUGGAGGUUGCCGGAGACUCGGAUUCGUCCAAGACUCGGGCUCUUCUGAAAUGCAUCGGCUUGCGGUCGACUUUCGACUAUGUGCGACAAGGCUUUCGGCGUGAUAAUGAUCGCCGUUCGCUGAAGCGCAUGACCGAAGGUUCCGUGCCUCUAAUAAGUCGACCACUUACUAUCUCUCCGGAGAGAACAGGGUCUUCCUAAUUGACU